Pygocentrus nattereri (red-bellied piranha) is the source of this 640-nucleotide long non-coding RNA. RefSeq lists it as uncharacterized. The transcript has 3 exons. NCBI's taxonomy places the organism in Eukaryota, Metazoa, Chordata, Actinopteri, Characiformes, Serrasalmidae. The record is from RefSeq and is a predicted model, not a curated record.
CACACUCUCCUCUCCUCACAACCUCCAGCAAUGAAGACGCUGGUCACUCUGAUGCUCGUCUACAUGCUUUUCUCUGAAGCUUUACAGGCUUCUGCAGCUCUGAAGUGUUGCAAGGGUUUUGGGCCAGCAUGUUUCCCUGUGGAGUGUUCUUCAUAUGAAAAACUCUGCAUGACCAAAGCCGAGGGAUUAAUGAACACACUGAAAUUACCAGAAAAAAAAUGUGCAACCGCGGGUGAGUGUUCACAGCCAGGAAAUCAGGAAAUGUGCUGUGACACUGACAUGUGUAACGGCGCUGAGGGGGUUAAGCUGAGUCUCCUCAUCAUGCUGGCUCCUCUGAUCUCCUCCGUCUUCUUCAUCUGAUCUCUCUGCUGCUCCUCUCUCAGUGAUUCAUCUCUUACUGGAGGAACUGAAAUAUUGUAAAUAUAGUGUCUGGAAAUAAUUAGAUAGUUUUCCUACAUUUAAUUUCUCAGCUGUACUUUCAGAUCAAAUAUGAUGAAUGUUAUAGAUUAGAAUAGAUUGUACUGUAACAUCUGUGUAUCAAUAAAUGUGAUGACCAAGAGGGGUGUAAUGCAGUUUUAUGUGGCCUUAGAGCUGAAUAAAUAAAGUAACUUUCAUCUGAAAGUGGGCUUUAAUUAGCAAA